RNAcentral lists this unclassified non-coding RNA (236 nucleotides) under plant metagenome. RNAcentral describes it as "partial contains small subunit ribosomal RNA, internal transcribed spacer 1, and 5.8S ribosomal RNA". The record is from RNAcentral.
UCUCCGUUGGUGAACCAGCGGAGGGAUCAUUACCGAAGUUACCUUCAAAACCCACUGUGAACCUUACCUCUUGCCGUGUUGUCUCGGCGGGAGGCGGUGUGCGUCGCGCGCCCUAGCGGGCCGUGCCGCUCCCGUCCCCGCCGGCAGCGCCAAACUCUAAAUGCACAGCGGACUGUACGUUCUGAUUUACAAAAAAAAACAAGUUAAAACUUUCAACAACGGAUCUCUUGGUUCUG